UACGUAGGUGGCAAGCGUUGUCCGGAUUUACUGGGCGUAAAGAGCGCGCAGGCGGUCGUUCAAGUCGCGUGUGAAAGCCCCCGGCUCAACUGGGGAGGGUCACGCGAUACUGAUCGACUCGAAGGCAGGAGAGGGUAGUGGAAUUCCUGGUGUAGCGGUGGAAUGCGUAGAUAUCAGGAAGAACACCGGUGGCGAAGGCGGCUCGCUGGGCCAGUUCUGACACUCAUCCGCGAAAGCGUGGGGAGCAAACAGG
Molecule: ribosomal RNA, 253 nt
Filed under: uncultured bacterium
Lineage: Bacteria
Description: partial 16S ribosomal RNA
Rfam family: Bacterial small subunit ribosomal RNA
Source: RNAcentral